Molecule: microRNA precursor, 93 nt
Organism: Poecilia formosa (Amazon molly)
Lineage: Eukaryota; Metazoa; Chordata; Actinopteri; Cyprinodontiformes; Poeciliidae
Source: Ensembl
AGCCAUGGUGUAAUAUGGCUUUUUAUUCCUAUGUGAGGAUGAAAAAUAUUCAUGUAGGAAUAGAAGCUGUUUUACAUGUGGUGAGAGAGCAGC